This is a long non-coding RNA of Oncorhynchus keta (chum salmon), 2580 nucleotides long. RefSeq lists it as uncharacterized. The record is from RefSeq and is a predicted model, not a curated record. The transcript has 3 exons. NCBI's taxonomy places the organism in Eukaryota, Metazoa, Chordata, Actinopteri, Salmoniformes, Salmonidae.
UGAAUCAAACCUCAAGGUGCGCACCAAUUUCCACGCAGACACCGUGCGGGACACUUGGCAAUUGUAGUCUCUUAUGGUCAAUCUUCCAAUGAUAUGCCUACAAAUACGUCACAAUGCUGCAGACACCUUGGGGAAACGAUAGAAAGUGUCCGUUCAUUCCUGUUGCAUUCACAGCCAUAUAAGGCGAUCAUGGAAAACGUAGCUUCAGAAAUCCUGUUCAUUUCCUGGGCGCUCAAACAUCUUGGUUUUGCCUGAAGCUUUUGUUCAACGGCACUCACAGUGAAAAUCUUUGCAGUUCUGGAAACGUCAGUGUCUUCUUUCCAAAACUAUCAAUCCAAGCAUAGUCGAGCAUCUUUUCGUGACAAAAUAUUGCGCUUAAAACGGGCACGUAUUUUUAUCCAAAAAUGAAAUAAUGCCCCUAGUGGACUAACAGGUUAACAAGUCACAUAAUAAGUUGCAUGAACUCACGCUGUGUGCAAUAAGAGUGUUUAACAUGACUUUUGAAUGACUACCUCAUCUCUGUAUCCCACACAUACAAUUAUCUGUAGGGUCCCUCAGUCGAGCAGGGAAUUUCAAACACAGAUUCAACCACAAAGACCAGGGAGGUUUUCCAAUGCAAAAAAAGGCACCUGUUGGUAGAUGGGUAAAAAUAAAAAGAAGCGGAUAAUGAAUAUCCCUUUGACCAUUGUGAAGUUAUUAAUUACAUGCACCCAGUCACUACAAAGAUACAGGUGUCCUUCCUGACUCAGUUGCAGCAGAGGUAGGAAACCACUGAACGAUUUCACCACGAGGCCAAUGGUAAAUUUAAAUAGUUACAUAUUUUAAUGGAUGUGAUAGGAGGAAACUGAGGAUGAAUCAACAAUAUUGCAGGUCCUCCACAAUACUAACCUAAUUGACAGAGUGAAAAGCAAGAAGCCUGUACAGCAAUUACAUUAUUGUCCUGAACACAAAGUGUUAUGUUUGGGGAAAAUCCAAUACAACACAUUACCAAGUACCAAGCUCCAUAUUUUAAAGUUGUGGCUGCAUCAUGCUAUGGGUAUGCUUGUAAACAUUAAGGACUGGUGAGUUUUUCACAGGCAAAAUCCUAGAGGUAAACCCGGUUCCGUCUGCUUUCCACCAGACACUGGGAGAUGAAUUCACAUUUCAGCAGAACAAUAAGCAAGGCCUGGAGUUGCUUACCAAGAAGACAGUGAAUAUUCCUGAGUGGCUGAGUUACAGUUUUGACUUAAAUCUACUUGAAAAUGUAAGACAAAACCUUAAAAUGGUUGUCUAGCAAUGAUCAUCAAUCAGUUUGACAGAGUUCAAAAAUAAUAAUGGGCAAAUGUUGCACAAUCCAGGUGUGGAAAACACUCAGAGACUUACCCAGAAAGACUCACAGGUGUAAUCGCUGCCAGAGGUGAUUCUAUAAAGUAUAGACUCAGGGGUGUGAAUAUUUAUGUAAAAUAAACAUUUCUGUGUUUAAUUUUCUUUAAAUUUGCAAUAAAAAUGUAAAAACAUGUUUUCACUUUGUCAUUAUGGGGUAUUGUGUGUAGAUGAGUGAAAUAAACAAAUAUUGAAUACAUUUUUUUAGAUUCAGGCAAUAACACAACAAAAUGUGGAAUAAGUAUGAAUACUUUCUGAAGGAAAUUGAAGCCUAGCCUGAAUCCGACUAGAAGUUCAAUACAUUCUCUCUCUAAUCGGAACGCGGCUCGGCAAUGAUCAGGACAACGCGGAGUCGACGAGACAUAUGGCUCGGGAAACGUCGCUCAAUCCAGUGAUGGGAUACUGCGGUGUACUCCUAAUUAUCCCAACGGACACAUCUAGAAUAUUUAAAUACUGCUAGUUUUUAAUGACUAGUAUUUUCGUCAGCAUGUUACAGCGAAUGCUAUAGCAGCCCAUUGGAUUCUAGCGUUGGGGAAAUCACAAAAAUGUUUUCUUCUGCAUCAUGUUUAAAUGGGAGCUUUAAAUGGGAGAUUUGCUGCUAUCCUCAGACUGCACCCCAACAAGCUGCAGGUCCUCGGUGACUGCUGGUCCGCAUUGAAGCCCUCUCUCAUGACCAAGCACAUUGGGGUGUGGAAGAAGGCCCUGUCUGUGAUUUUGACAAGGAAACAUAUUCUACGCACCUGUGACCCAAGGAUCAAACACCACACAAUUUUCCCCCCGAUGUUCACAACAUGGACAGCUAUUUAUUUAUGAUACACAUUGAAUUGCACAUUUCCAUUCAGUGCGCAAUUAAUGAAGUAGCUGUCUAACCCCGGGGUCUCAAGCGAAGCUGGGCGCCAUUUCACAGGAACAACUGCCUUAUAGUCGCACGCAGCUAGCUGUUAGGAUGUUACUCCAUCUCCUCUUUUCCGUGGAUGGAUUCCAAUAGCUUCUUGAGAGCUUUAGGCUCUGUGGCCGCUCACAGCCUUGAUCUCUCUGGCCUCCAGACCUGCAUCAGAGAGCUGCUGGAUGUUAGUCGUCUUGAUGCAGUGGUUGGUAAUUGUUAGGGUUGUGUAAAUUCAAAUCUGGUAUCAGGAUAAAUAUAACAAUGAGUCACCGAUUUUAUACUAUGUAUUUUUUAUUAGCUAGGUAAUAAAUGGCAAAUGCAACUUUCGUAUA